Molecule: ribosomal RNA, 756 nt
Filed under: uncultured bacterium
Lineage: Bacteria
Description: bacterial SSU rRNA
Rfam family: Bacterial small subunit ribosomal RNA
Source: RNAcentral
GGCCUAACACAUGCAAGUCGAGCGGUAGAGAGAAGCUUGCUUCUCUUGAGAGCGGCGGACGGGUGAGUAAUGCCUAGGAAUCCGCCUGGUAGUGGGGGAUAACGUUCGGAAACGGACGCUAAUACCGCAUACGUCCUACGGGAGAAAGCAGGGGACCUUCGGGCCUUGCGCUAUCAGAUGAGCCUAGGUCGGAUUAGCUAGUUGGUGAGGUAAUGGCUCACCAAGGCGACGAUCCGUAACUGGUCUGAGAGGAUGAUCAGUCACACUGGAACUGAGACACGGUCCAGACUCCUACGGGAGGCAGCAGUGGGGAAUAUUGGACAAUGGGCGAAAGCCUGAUCCAGCCAUGCCGCGUGUGUGAAGAAGGUCUUCGGAUUGUAAAGCACUUUAAGUUGGGAGGAAGGGUUGUAGAUUAAUACUCUGCAAUUUUGACGUUACCGACAGAAUAAGCACCGGCUAACUCUGUGCCAGCAGCCGCGGUAAUACAGAGGGUGCAAGCGUUAAUCGGAAUUACUGGGCGUAAAGCGCGCGUAGGUGGUUUGUUAAGUUGGAUGUGAAAUCCCCGGGCUCAACCUGGGAACUGCAUUCAAAACUGACUGACUAGAGUAUGGUAGAGGGUGGUGGAAUUUCCUGUGUAGCGGUGAAAUGCGUAGAUAUAGGAAGGAACACCAGUGGCGAAGGCGACCACCUGGACUAAUACUGACACUGAGGUGCGAAAGCGUGGGGGGCAAACAGGAUUAGAUACCCUGGUAGUCC